RNAcentral lists this transfer RNA (67 nucleotides) under Anisandrus dispar. Its description in RNAcentral is "tRNA-Ser". Lineage: Eukaryota; Metazoa; Arthropoda; Insecta; Coleoptera; Curculionidae. The record is from RNAcentral.
GAGUUAAGAAACCCAAGAAAAAGCUUCUAACUUUAAUCUUAAGCAGUGAAACUCUGUUUUUAACUCU